GCCUUGCUAGCUCAAUCGGUAGAGCGUGAGACUUUUAAUCUCAAGGUUGCGGGUUCGACCCCCGCGUGAGGCU
Molecule: transfer RNA, 73 nt
Filed under: Sphaerobolus stellatus SS14
Lineage: Eukaryota; Fungi; Basidiomycota; Agaricomycetes; Geastrales; Sphaerobolaceae
Description: tRNA-Lys (TTT) (tRNA-Lys-TTT-2 1 to 5)
Rfam family: tRNA
About the family: Transfer RNA (tRNA) molecules are approximately 80 nucleotides in length. Their secondary structure includes four short double-helical elements and three loops (D, anti-codon, and T loops).
Source: RNAcentral